RNAcentral lists this ribosomal RNA (1372 nucleotides) under uncultured bacterium. RNAcentral's name for it is "bacterial SSU rRNA". It matches the Rfam family "Bacterial small subunit ribosomal RNA", at positions 28 to 1381 of the family's 1533-position model. The record is from RNAcentral.
GAUGAACGCUGGCGGCGUGCCUGAUACAUGCAAGUCGAGCGAACAGACGAGGAGCUUGCUCCUUUGACGUUAGCGGCGGACGGGUGAGUAACACGUGGAUAACCUACCUAUAAGACUGGGAUAACUUCGGGAAACCGGAGCUAAUACCGGAUAACAUGUUGAACCGCAUGGUUCAACAGUGAAAGACGGUCUUGCUGUCACUUAUAGAUGGAUCCGCGCCGCAUUAGCUAGUUGGUAAGGUAACGGCUUACCAAGGCAACGAUGCGUAGCCGACCUGAGAGGGUGAUCGGCCACACUGGAACUGAGACACGGUCCAGACUCCUACGGGAGGCAGCAGUAGGGAAUCUUCCGCAAUGGGCGAAAGCCUGACGGAGCAACGCCGCGUGAGUGAAGAAGGUCUUCGGAUCGUAAAACUCUGUUAUUAGGGAAGAACAAAUGUGUAAGUAACUAUGCACGUCUUGACGGUACCUAAUCAGAAAGCCACGGCUAACUACGUGCCAGCAGCCGCGGUAAUACGUAGGUGGCAAGCGUUAUCCGGAAUUAUUGGGCGUAAAGCGCGCGUAGGCGGUUUUUUAAGUCUGAUGUGAAAGCCCACGCCUCAACCGUGGAGGGUCAUUGGAAACUGGAAAACUUGAGUGCAGAAGAGGAAAGUGGAAUUCCAUGUGUAGCGGUGAAAUGCGCAGAGAUAUGGAGGAACACCAGUGGCGAAGGCGACUUUCUGGUCUGUAACUGACGCUGAUGUGCGAAAGCGUGGGGAUCAAACAGGAUUAGAUACCCUGGUAGUCCACGCCGUAAACGAUGAGUGCUAAGUGUUAGGGGGUUUCCGCCCCUUAGUGCUGCAGCUAACGCAUUAAGCACUCCGCCUGGGGAGUACGACCGCAAGGUUGAAACUCAAAGGAAUUGACGGGGACCCGCACAAGCGGUGGAGCAUGUGGUUUAAUUCGAAGCAACGCGAAGAACCUUACCAAAUCUUGACAUCCUCUGACCCCUCUAGAGAUAGAGUUUUCCCCUUCGGGGGACAGAGUGACAGGUGGUGCAUGGUUGUCGUCAGCUCGUGUCGUGAGAUGUUGGGUUAAGUCCCGCAACGAGCGCAACCCUUAAGCUUAGUUGCCAUCAUUAAGUUGGGCACUCUAAGUUGACUGCCGGUGACAAACCGGAGGAAGGUGGGGAUGACGUCAAAUCAUCAUGCCCCUUAUGAUUUGGGCUACACACGUGCUACAAUGGACAAUACAAAGGGUAGCGAAACCGCGAGGUCAAGCAAAUCCCAUAAAGUUGUUCUCAGUUCGGAUUGUAGUCUGCAACUCGACUACAUGAAGCUGGAAUCGCUAGUAAUCGUGGAUCAGCAUGCUACGGUGAAUACGUUCCCGGGUCU